Molecule: long non-coding RNA, 1311 nt
Filed under: Heterocephalus glaber (naked mole-rat)
Lineage: Eukaryota; Metazoa; Chordata; Mammalia; Rodentia; Bathyergidae
Description: lncRNA (ENSHGLG00000033798.1)
Source: RNAcentral
CUACAGACUGUGAGCUAAAUAAGCCUUUCCUCCUUUAACUUUGGGUGUCGGGUAUUUUGUCUUGGCAAUGAGAAAAGUAACCAAGACAUGGACAUUAGGUGAAGAAUUUCCUGACUUGACUUAAAACUGGAACUCAGUUGAACAGAAGCAAGCAGAGCUGGGGUUUUCUGCUAGCCUAAGAACUAACACAAAAACGCUGUAGGCAAAGAAACACGUCAAAGGGAUGGGAGUCAGCAGGUCCCACCGGGAACAUGCACCACCUGACUCGUCCUUGCUCUUCAUCUUCUUUGCUCCCUGGUGGCCAUGGAGCCACAGCUGCUGUGAGAGGGAAGAGACUUUGCAUGGCCAGCACUGCCUGCCUGCAGGACCACAGGCCAGCACAUUAGAGAGGAUGCGAAGCACCAGAUGAGGAAACUGAUACCCAGAAAGGUUCUGUAACCUCCCUGCGGUCUUGGAAUGAGUGUAAGAGCAGCUAUAGGCCCGUGUCUGACAUCAACACCUGCACUCAAUCAACAGGGUGAGAAAAAAUAGCCCCAAGGGAAAGACAAUUCUAAUGAGUCACCAGAGGGAGGAUAGGUACUCUGUGGGGCAAGUUUCUCCAAAAUCGUUCAAAUUCUCCAACUUCUGCCAACCAAAAAUACUUGCAAGGUGGUCAGCCUGGGGAAGAGUCAAGUCUACAGUCAUAUAACAGAAUUUUUCUCUAAAUGAGAAUAACUAACUGGUCCAUACAGAAAUACAGGUAAUGUGCCCAGGGUAUUAGGAAAUAAGCCCUUGGCCAGAAGUAGAAGACAUAAGGUGGGGGGAAAGAAAAGAAGAUUAGCCUUCCUUUUCAUUAAACCUUUUCAGAGAAAGUACAUCAACCCGUUUCCUCCCUCCUUUGUAGUAAACAUGGGGCAGAGAGCACACACAAAAAAUCAAAUCCACCCAAAAAAGAUUUUCCAAGGGAAAUAAUAAUCUCAAUCCCAGAAUUUGUGCAGGCUGGCGAGAUCUGGAGGAGCAUCAAGGAAGAUCUCAGGAUAAUGGUACUGGUCAGCAAAUUAGAUGCACCACUGCAAUCCCACAAAGCAGCAAAAGUCAACGCCAGUGUGACUUGCAAACUUUGCUAGCCAAGACUCCAGUCACACUGGAGUCAGAAGAGGGGUCGGUGCCCACUUUGUCACCCUCAGUGUCCAGUCUGACCUCAGGCUGGAAAGCUCAUGUCCAGUGCCCCAGUAUCCCAGGAGGCAAAGAGGUGGAACGGGGCAGAGGAGAAGGAAAAAAACGUUGCUGGGGAAGAAAGAGCGAAGAAGGAACUUUAAAAUCAGAGCUCUG